RNAcentral lists this ribosomal RNA (253 nucleotides) under uncultured bacterium. Its description in RNAcentral is "partial 16S ribosomal RNA". It matches the Rfam family "Bacterial small subunit ribosomal RNA", at positions 524 to 776 of the family's 1533-position model. The record is from RNAcentral.
UACGAAGGGGGCUAGCGUUGCUCGGAAUUACUGGGCGUAAAGCGCGCGUAGGCGGAUCGUUAAGUCGGGGGUGAAAUCCUGGAGCUCAACUCCAGAACUGCCUUUGAUACUGGCGAUCUUGAGUACCGGAGGGGAGAGUGGAAUUCCUGGUGUAGCGGUGAAAUGCGCAGAUAUCAGGAAGAACACCCGUGGCGAAGGCGGCUCUCUGGGACGGUACUGACGCUGAGACGCGAAAGCGUGGGGAGCGAACAGG